GAUUUCCACCAAGCUGGAAGGAGGUUUGACUCUACCUGGACUUCUACCAAGCUGGAGGACAUUUUGCUCUGAGUGAUUUUCCCUAGAGAGUCAACAUUUUGUGGAGAAUUUUUGACUUCUUGGUAGAGAAUUUACUUUGGAGGAAACCAUUUUCCCUGAGUACAGAGAUCAUCUGUCAGUGAUCCCUCUGCCAGAAAUCCUUUUGUGCUGAGAUGAAGGAACUGAAGUUGAGAGACACAGUGAUUAUUCCAGGAUUUUAAUAGCUGGGCCAAGUUGACAAACCUAUGGCAUGUGUGCCAGAGCAUGCUGGAGGAGGCUGCUCCCUUCCCCCUUUCCACUCAUGCCUCUGGACAUUUCUCACAUCACUUGUCCCUCUGCCCAGCAGAGUGCUAGGAGUGCGUCCUCUCUCUCCUGUUUGGAGUAAGAUGAAAGAUGUUGCAAUUUCACUAAUUCAUGGAGAAAAGCAGAGCAUAGCCUUCAAUUAGAAACCAGGAGAAGAAAAAAUAAUGAAAAAGAGUCAGUAAAAGGUAGACAGAUCCGGUCAUCAAAGCACAUUAUGAUUUCUUCAUGGUCUUCAUAGAUACACCAAAUUAAAGAAGUCCCAACUUCUGGAGGAAAGGGUUGGGGUUUUUUUGUGUGUGUGUGUGUUUUUAACCCUUUGGAGACUAAGAAGCUGCAUCAAGAUAGACAAAGACCAAUCAAGCCAGAGAGACACUUUUGUUUCCUUUUAUGGAAAUCUAAUCCUUGCUUGAGGGACCCAAGGGAACUCUGGGCCUCACAUGCUUCACAAAAUGUGUCCUUCAUUUUCAAAGAGGGCCCAAUGACAUUACUGGGUA
This 836-nucleotide long non-coding RNA is filed under the name Monodelphis domestica (gray short-tailed opossum). RNAcentral's name for it is "lncRNA (ENSMODG00000039364.1)". Lineage: Eukaryota; Metazoa; Chordata; Mammalia; Didelphimorphia; Didelphidae. The record is from RNAcentral.